RNAcentral lists this unclassified non-coding RNA (287 nucleotides) under Hevea brasiliensis (rubber tree). The record is from RNAcentral. Lineage: Eukaryota; Viridiplantae; Streptophyta; Magnoliopsida; Malpighiales; Euphorbiaceae.
GUUGGAAUCUACAUUUCUGUGGGUAAGCUUCUGAAAUGCGUUGAUGUGUGGAAGCAUAUUUCAGUUGUAAUUUUAUAAUUUUCUAUAGGCUGCAUAAAAUAUGCUAGAACCCUCAAACGUAAUGUCAAGCAUAAUCUGUCUACCCAAGUGGUCAUCACUCUCAAAUUGUGAUUUAAUUUAGCAAGUCAAUGCAACUGCACAAAUUGUAGAAAUAAUGCAUCCCAUUCUAUUCUCCCACCGAGUCUGUGUAUCUCAUUAUACUUUUCCAAAAUUAUAAGUAAACCUAG